UGGGGAAUUUUGGACAAGGGCGAAAGCCUGAUCCAGCAAUGCCGCGUGUGUGAAGAAGGCCUUCGGGUUGUAAAGCACUUUUGUCCGGAAAGAAAUCCUUGGCUCUAAUACAGUCGGGGGAUGACGGUACCGGAAGAAUAAGCACCGGCUAACUACGUGCCAGCAGCCGCGGUAAUACGUAGGGUGCAAGCGUUAAUCGGAAUUACUGGGCGUAAAGCGUGCGCAGGCGGUUUGCUAAGACCGAUGUGAAAUCCCCGGGCUCAACCUGGGAACUGCAUUGGUGACUGGCAGGCUAGAGUAUGGCAGAGGGGGGUAGAAUUCCACGUGUAGCAGUGAAAUGCGUAGAGAUGUGGAGGAAUACCGAUGGCGAAGGCAGCCCCCUGGGCCAAUACUGACGCUCAUGCACGAAAAGCGUGGGGAGCAAAACAGGAUUAGAUACCCUGGUAGUCCACGCCCUAAACGAUGUCAACUAGUUGUUGGGGAUUCAUUCCUUAGUAACGUAGCUAACGCGUGAAGUUGACCGCCUGGGGGAGUACGGUCGCAAGAUUAAAACUUAAAUGAAUUGACGGGGUCAUAGCUG
This 580-nucleotide ribosomal RNA is filed under the name uncultured bacterium. RNAcentral describes it as "partial 16S ribosomal RNA". It matches the Rfam family "Bacterial small subunit ribosomal RNA", at positions 355 to 932 of the family's 1533-position model. The record is from RNAcentral.